This 334-nucleotide unclassified non-coding RNA is filed under the name soil metagenome. RNAcentral's name for it is "partial contains 5.8S ribosomal RNA, internal transcribed spacer 2, and large subunit ribosomal RNA". The stretch from base 1 to 120 matches the Rfam family "5.8S ribosomal RNA", at positions 35 to 154 of the family's 154-position model. The record is from RNAcentral.
GAUGAAGAACGCAGCGAAAUGCGAUAAGUAAUGUGAAUUGCAGAAUUCAGUGAAUCAUCGAAUCUUUGAACGCACAUUGCGCCCGCCAGUAUUCUGGCGAGCAUGCCUGUUCGAGCGUCAUUUCAACCAUCAAGCCCCAGGCUUGUGUUGGAGCCCUGCGGCUGCCGCAGCCUCCCAAAACCAGUGGCGGGCUCGCUAUCACACCGAGUGCAGUAGUUUACUCUUCGCUCAGGGCGUGUGGCGGGUGCUAGCCGUGAAACCCCCAACUUCUCAAGGUUGACCUCGGAUCAGGUAGGAAUGCCCGCUGAACUUAAGCAUAUCAAUAAGCGGAGGA